UGCAGCGCUCAGCAACUUCCAAUCUUGUUGUAUAGAGAUGAAAAAACAUAAGGGACGUCCCUUGGAAUCGGGGACCGUUGGCAACCCUACCACAGAAGCCAGGGCAAAUGCCACGAGAUGACAUUAAUCUUCCUUUAAUUGUUUUUGAAGGUUGCGAUGUCAAGCCCUGGAAUUAAUGCCAGAUUUAAGAUUGCCCAUGAAAGGCCGCUAUAGUUACACCUUGGCUGCUCCAGGAACGUGUGUGUCUCUGCAGCUGCUUUCAACAGACUAUCCCCAAUAUUGGCAAUGCUCAUGAUUUUAUCGUGACUCUAGCCAUUUUGAGGGUUUUUUUAAAAUCUGUCUGAGGAAAACAUGAUGACGAAAGGCGCCAACUCAUGGAUUUUUCCCUCAUUCAAAAUGGCCACCCUCUUCUCUUGCUGUCAAUGGGGCUGAAGCCAGCAAGGUGGUUGCCAUUUCCCAACUGUCUAGCUGCGUACGGAAGAGAGGCUGCCCUCAGUAAUGGCUGCCACCUCUCACUGUUUUCACAGAAGUUGAAGCCAUGCCCAUAGGAAAAAUGGCUGCCACGCCAUCAUUCGGGGGCUAGAUGGGACAAGGGGGCUGUGAGAAGCAGCAAAGAUAGCUGGGGAGAGUGAGGGGAGCAGGAGGCAGAUUUAGUUGUUGCAGGGGAAUGGGGGGCUGGGAGCACUGGGGGCCGGAGGAAGGAUGAGGGGGAAACAGAGGACCGUGAUGGGCACGAGAGACAUGGAAGGGAUGGAAUGGUGGCUCCCCCCCCCGCCAUCCUCAGAGCAGUGGUGGGUAAAUGGCACCCCUUUGAGCAGCUGGGGAAGGCAAUGUUGCAGUGAGGCCAACUCUUAUGAACUGAUUAUGAGUUGCAGGAUUUUGGAGCCCGCAGGAGGAGCUGUGGCAAUGUUGCGAGAAGCUCCUCUGAUUCUGUGAUUUUUCAGGGCUGGGUAGAGCUGUGUGCAAGGGGCUCGGGACACAGACCUGUCCUGUGUUCUUGUGCAGCCUUAUAGCAGAGAGAGGGUCCUGGGGCAAUUGCAGGGGCAGAGUCCAGAAAGUGCUGGUGCUGGGACCCUGACCGGGGAAGUGGCACUGUUGGGUCCCAAGUACAAAAGUCCUGUGGCAGCAGGAGGCAGAGAAGUGUCGCUGCUUGGUCAAGGCAGUAAUAGGAAGUGGAUGGCAGUUCCCCUAUCUAGGGAUGAGGAAAGGGUAAGUGAAAUGUUCAUCUGAGCAGCCAGGAAGAGGCCUGUGUUUUUGUGUGUGUUAAAGGUUGACUUUUCCACCUGAAAUUCUGUCUUUCACAGUGGCAAAAGAAUAGAGGGGAGGCCAAAAGACAAACUGAAAACAUAUUUGAUUUUUUAAAACCAAUUUAUUUGGGCCAAUCUCGUGAUUUUUGAUGUUUUGAGGUUGGCAAUACUUUAUCCAUUUGUUUGGCUAUAUCAUAAGAGCAUCCAAGAUGAAUGUCCAGCACCAGUAAAAAGCGACCAGUUGGUUCCCUCAACAAAAUUGGCUCAAUUUUGGGGAACAUUAGGAGUGACAGCACAAUCUUAUUAGUGUUUUAAAACUGCCCAUUUUGUAAGUAUGAAUGUAAUCUCUUUGUCUAUGUUCUGAUAUGGGUAGAUUCAAAAGGCUCAUCACUCUAGACCAAAGCCUCUCUUAGCAUUGUCUUUUUUUAUUUCCCAUCAUUAAAAAUAUCCUCCCACAUGCAAUAAUUUGUAUUUUUCCAACCUUAAUCUAAUUUUGUGUGUAGCCCCCUGAGCAAACAGGGAUGCUCCAAGAGAAGAAGUACAACACCUGUUGUACUAGUGGGUCCACUCCAGAGUCCUGCACAGCUGUUUUCUCCAGAGCAGGAGGGCAGGUGAGGGGGAUAUGGCUCUCCUCAGUCACCCUUGUGACCCUCCUCCCUCAACCAAUGGGAGGAAGGAAGACAGUAGACCCCAGAAGCUUAGAGGGCAGAAAGACUGCAAGCAGUGUCUAGCUCUGUGCAGUGCCCCAGAUGCCUGGGAAAGCGGGAGGAAGGCUAUCAAUAGCUCUGCUUUUCCUCCACCGGGUAGAAACCAACUGGGGAGCAGACAGGAAAGAAGGUCUUUUUGCAGCCUACCAGCACAGCACAUCCAGGACCAGCAACUGGCUGUCUGUAACCUCAGCCUACAGAAAAGCCCGAGGAGGGGACAAUCCGCUCCUCCUUCCACCAGCCUCUCUCUCCUACUACUGACUGCAGCCUGCUUCCCCUGUAGCAGCCCACCCCAGAUCUUGGAUUUUAGAUCAAGAGACGUGACCUGCUUGCUGCUGAACUUUGUUCCAAAUUUUAAAGACUGUCAGCACAGCUCCAGAAGGGACUGGGGGAUUAGUCCCUCUCCAACAAUCCCCAGGGAGGACCUGCUUGCUUACAUCAGUCCCCUGACUGCUCAGGCAAAAAAGGAGCCUGAGUGAGUACCCUGUAUUAUAAUGAGGUAGUUAGGGUUUAAUCUUGCACCAUUAGGGUACAUUGCAUCUGCAAAUUCCCAGUAUAAUCAAGUACGUUUCUAACAGGAUCUCCUUGCAGGCCUGCAAUGUGUCUCCAUGUGCACCACCUGGGUAUGUGGGAGAAACGGACAGAAUUGAGAGGGGAUACGCUUUUGUUUAGGAAAGUUGGGGGGAGUGUGUGGUCACAUGACUUAGUAUGCUUGCUGGCAUAACCUUUAGUAAUUAAAAUGCAUUAAUAUAUCUAAUCAUUUUAGUCAUUUAAUAUUUAUACUAAUCCUAUAUUUCUUUUUAAUCAAAUCCUUCUGUAAAGUUUAUAGUUAUUGUUUUUAAUUUGUUUGCUUGUGUGAGUUCUAGUGUGGUACCACUGCCUGAGCGAGAGUAAACCCCUUCACUGGAAGCACUGCCGAGUAGCUUUAUUCUUUAGCAGACCAGCAGAAGAAGUCUGGCAUCUAUCAGCAGCCUUGCAAACGAGCCCAGGCGACUGAAAUGGUGGAAUUGUCCAAAGACUGUAAACAAACUAAGCAGACAAGCUUAGACUACAGAAUGACAAUGGCCGAAGGAGAGCUUCCCUCCCUGGAAAAUAAGUUAAUGAAGAAAGAAAGAGAGUUGAAGAACACAGAAGAGAAAAAAGGAUCCACGUGGAGCUAUCUGAAGAAAAAGAAAAGAUAAUCAGCUAGAUGUGUGCAGUAUAACAUGGACAAGACCAGUAGAAUUUUACAGUUCUGUAGCACUAGAAGCAAUUCCUGAUCCAAGUGAAUUACAGUCCCAAAGUCCAGACCAUUUUUUUUAACUUCUUAAGUCUUUCAAGGCUUUUGUAAGUGGCUCUCUCCAGAACUGCCUUCUUUUUUGUUUCAUUUCCCUGUUCUUUUGAUCUUGGAACCGUUGUCACUUUCCAGUGAUGAAUAUCUAGACUUUUGCUUACAGGGAGGCUCUGAGGAACCAUCUGUUGACAGAGUUUGAAGCUGAGAGAUUAAGGAUUGCGUCAGCAGAAUUAAACUAAAUAAGGGCAGAAGUCACUUUGAACAUGAGCUUGAUUCUUGUGCACAUGUGGUCCUGGACUCUGUAACCAAAUGGCAUUCCCACAGCAGAUGUACUGAAGAGGUGCAGAUGCUUGACAUUGUCAGUAGACAGUGGUGUCUUUGCUUCCUACUUCACGUGUUUUGGCUGGGGUACUGUCAAAAUAAAUGUUGUUACAUUAGCCUAA
Dermochelys coriacea (leatherback sea turtle) is the source of this 3670-nucleotide long non-coding RNA. RefSeq lists it as uncharacterized. NCBI's taxonomy places the organism in Eukaryota, Metazoa, Chordata, Testudines, Dermochelyidae. The record is from RefSeq and is a predicted model, not a curated record. The transcript is spliced from 2 exons.